GAUGAAGAACGCAGCGAAAUGCGAUAAGUAAUGUGAAUUGCAGAAUUCAGUGAAUCAUCGAAUCUUUGAACGCACCUUGCGCUCCUUGGUAUUCCGAGGAGCAUGCCUGCCUGGGCGUCACACGUCGUUGCCCCCCCAUCUACUCCUUCGGGAUUGCGGGGGGCGGAUGAUGGCCUCCCGUGCGCCUCGCCGCGCGGUUGGCAUAAAUGCCAAGUCCUCGGCGACGCACGCCACGACAAUCGGUGGUUGCGAAACCUCGGUUGCCCGUCGUGUGCGGUCGUCGCGCAUCGAGGGCUCGAAAAAAUUGCCGGGUUCCGGCUCGGCUUUCAACGCGACCCCAGGUCAGGCGGGGUUACCCGCUGAAUUUAAGCAUAUCAAUAAGCGGAGGA
RNAcentral lists this unclassified non-coding RNA (389 nucleotides) under soil metagenome. RNAcentral's name for it is "partial contains 5.8S ribosomal RNA, internal transcribed spacer 2, and large subunit ribosomal RNA". The stretch from base 1 to 120 matches the Rfam family "5.8S ribosomal RNA", at positions 35 to 154 of the family's 154-position model. The record is from RNAcentral.